AGCUCCAAUAGCGUAUAUUAAAGUUGUUGCGGUUAAAAAGCUCGUAGUUGGAUCUCGGCAAGCAGGGGGCGGUUCGAUAUUUGUCGACACUGCCCCAUUUGCUUGUAUUUUUGACAGAGGGUUGAGGGUCCCCUUCAUUGGGUGUCCUCGGUCGCUGUCAGGUUUACUUUGAAAAAAUUAGAGUGCUCAAAGCAGGCUUUAAAGCUUGAAUAUUCGUGCAUGGAAUAAUAGAAUAGGAAGUCGUUUCUAUUUUGUUGGUUUUCGGAAAAUGACUUAAUGAUUAAUAGGGACAAUCGGGGGCAUUAGUAUUCAAACGACAGAGGUGAAAUUCUUGGACCGUUUGAAGACUAACUACUGCGAAAGCAUUUGCCAAGAGUGUUUUCA
RNAcentral lists this ribosomal RNA (384 nucleotides) under marine copepod environmental sample. RNAcentral's name for it is "SSU rRNA". It matches the Rfam family "Eukaryotic small subunit ribosomal RNA", at positions 587 to 972 of the family's 1831-position model. Lineage: Eukaryota; Metazoa; Arthropoda; Copepoda. The record is from RNAcentral.